RNAcentral lists this long non-coding RNA (1277 nucleotides) under Cyanistes caeruleus (blue tit). RNAcentral describes it as "lncRNA (ENSCCEG00000004084.1)". Lineage: Eukaryota; Metazoa; Chordata; Aves; Passeriformes; Paridae. The record is from RNAcentral.
CUUUGGCAGGCUCAGCCCAGCUGCUCCCUGCCUGUGGCCAGGAACAGGGUGCAACAUCUGGACCUUGGGAGAAGCUUCUGGAACAUGGAAAAGGCUUAAUCUGGAACCAGCAGCUGCUGGGGGUCUCAGGGCCCUUAGAAAAACAGAGCAGACUUGGCCUGUGGUGGGAAAAAACAGGAAUGGGCACGAGGGGAUGCAAAAUUAAACUCGGUUGUUGCGUAUUGACCUCCACUUGAAGAAUGCCAGAUCCAAUUAACAACGGUUAAUGAGGCUCAGGGAAGGCAGGAGUGACCUUCCCAAGGACCAGGUGAACUCUCAGAGAUGUGAAUUUGCACAGAGCACAAUAAAUGCAGGAAUACCAAGGCAUGGAGCGAGGAAUUCAGCAAACCCUCUCGGAAAAACCUCUGCUGAAAUCUGCUCCAGAGCAAAGCUGCUCGGGAGACCUUGGAAAUUCAUUUGUGAAGAUCAGGUGAGCCCUGAGUGUGUUCCAAGGGUUUAAAAUGACUCUCAUUAACUCCUUAAAUGAGGAAGAGUUCCUGCAGUUUCAAUAACGUGCCCAGAGGAGCAGUAAGAAGUGAGAUUUAAGGAAACUUGAAUCAAAUCUGACUUUCAUUUCAACUUGCAGAUGAUCAGGGAGGCAGCAGUGCUCUGUGCUUCAGGAUGAGGAGGGCGGACUUUGCAAGGACCUGAAAUGAGGGAUGAGGGACGAGGUUUGGGCUGCUGAACUCCAGCCAUGAUCAGAACCAUGGGCUCCUUCAGCCUGGAAAAGCCCUCUGGGAUCAUCUCAGCCCAGCAGCACCAGCAGGGAUCGCAGCCGCUCCACGGGCGGGGAGGGCUCGGAGCCAGCGCUGCAGGAACCGGGGGAUGCUCAGCUGGGAGAUCCCAGGGAAAGGCUUUCCCAGGAUUUGGGAUGUUGGAGCAAACAGCUCUGGGCUCCUGGCUGGGCCUGGCUGAUGAGCCCCAGCACGGAAUGAGCGAGAGGGGAAGAACAAAAGGCUCCUUUGAUGUGCUCACCCGCACCAUGUUCAGCACAAAAUGCAAAUGUUCCCUCACGCUGGAGAACACUUAUCAAUAUUAAGGCAUACACGGAGCAGAAGAAAGGAGGAAGAACAAAAUACAACACUUAACAAGAGGGUAAUUUAGCCUGUUGGCAAGUGCUUCAAGCCGAGUUCAUGAAAAAUUACUCAGACAAUUGUUUUGUGGGGGUUCUGGGCCGUUCUGCAUAAAUCAUGAUAUGGAUUCCAUGGGAGGCCAGAGCUUGAUCAGGUGUGAGAGGG